CAUUAUCGCUAAUUUGCUGCUAGUGAAUUUGUGGUACAAACCAGAAUUUUAGUUUGACCCUUGAUUUUAUAAUUUAAUACGAAUAUUACUUACAUUAUUAGUUUUACUGGUAAAUCAGGAGCAAGUUGUUGGAGUCCAGCUGUGACCCCGGGGCAAGAACUUUUUGCCUGCUGUCACCUUCUGACAGUUUGGGCUGUUAAUUACCUCAAUCAACUAGCACACAAGCACCUCUCUGUCUGCCAGCUGGCAGACUCAGCUUCAGAAACUGGCAGCUUGGGAAGAUUUAAAACCUGUAAAAAGGACUGCUAUGUAAACAGUUUAUUGUGUAAUAUUUGAUGACCACAGUAGACCCGCAUCAGUAAUCAAAGCCAGAAGAGUGAACCUAGGGAUUUCAGUUCUGGAGGCGUUAUGUUGGUGCCUUGGAGGAAAGCCAGUCAUUUCGCUCUACUGAAAUAAAUGUGGAACCAAACAGAAAGAAAGUGCUACACAAAUCGUCAAGUCAACCAUCAGCAAAAGAAGCUAAAUACAACAAUGUUGGGGAGAGAGAAUGGUGGGAAGCUUUGGAUGGAGAUGAUGGUGUUGACGAAGAGACAAGGUGGAACGUUAUAAGACAUUAGUGAGAUGAAGGAGGCAGACUGUGGGGACUAAUUACACACAUGUACAGAAGAGGGAAGGGUAAAGAUGGCUGAGUUUUCAGUACAAGUCGCUAGGAAACUCCGUAAGACCAAGAUGCUGGUGUAAGGGAAAGGCGAUACGUGACAUAUCACUGCGUUUCAGAGUCUCAACCCUCAAUGUGUAUCAAGAUACUCUGGAGAGCUUAUGCUUAUUCUGGAAAUUCAAAUGUCCCACCUUAAGCCCUAGAAUUUAAGACUUAAUUGGUCAGGCGUGAAUUCGGUCCUGCGUGUUUAAAAAAAAAAAAACAAAAACAAACAAACAAAAAAACACCUCAUCCCUCCCCAGUGAUUUCCAUGUUUUGAUGAGGUUGAAACAAACUUUUACAUGUCUGGACCUUCCAUAAAUGUGUGUUUGCUUGUUUCUAAAAGAUGAUUCUGUUGAAAAUAAUAAAACAUGGUACUAAAAACUGGAAAGCUGUGACAUUUAGUAUAAGGAGUUGUAAAUUAAGGCAGAGGAUGAGGGAAGGAAUGACAAAGAGAUGACGGAAAAGCAUCCAUAAAGUAAGACACACGGUUGAAAGAUAAACUUCAAAAGGAUGGAGUCUGUAAGUCCUGCUCUUGCCGUUUCUUUCCUUUACCUCACAUGCUGAAGCUCCUGAUGACUCAGAAAAUCCCGGAGGUGGUGAGGCUGAUGACCCUGGGAAGUAGUUGAAAAUUCACUUCAGUCCCUUCCUUCUGCUCAAUCCUCAGCCUUUCCAGUGCCUCUCAGAGCAUGUCAGGCUUGCCAGUUCCUUUCACUUAAACAGAUAGCUGCUCCUCAGGACUCGGACCUCCA
This is a long non-coding RNA of Acinonyx jubatus (cheetah), 1449 nucleotides long. RefSeq lists it as uncharacterized. The transcript has 3 exons. Lineage: Eukaryota; Metazoa; Chordata; Mammalia; Carnivora; Felidae. The record is from RefSeq and is a predicted model, not a curated record.